GUGGCUUCUGAGUUGCUUAUUGCACCACAUGUGUUUUUCUUUGAAACAAACUUGCUUUGGCGGUGGGCCCAGCCUGCCGCCAGAGGUCUAAACUUACAACCAAUUUUUUAUCAACUUGUCACACCAGAUUAUUACUUAAUAGUCAAAACUUUCAACAACGGAUCUCUUGGUUCUCGCAUCGAUGAAGAACGCAGCGAAAUGCGAUACGUAAUAUGAAUUGCAGAUAUUCGUGAAUCAUCGAAUCUUUGAACGCACAUUGCGCCCUCUGGUAUUCCGGAGGGCAUGCCUGUUUGAGCGUCGUUUCUCCCUCAAACCGCUGGGUUUGGUGUUGAGCAAUACGACUUGGGUUUGCUUGAAAGACGGUAGUGGUAAGGCGGGAUCGCUUUGACAAUGGCUUAGGUCUAACCAAAAACAUUGCUUGCGGCGGUAACGUCUACCACGUAUAUCUUCAAACUUUGACCUCAAAUCAGGUAGGACUACCCGCUGAACUUAAGCAUAUCAAUAAGCGGAGGAA
RNAcentral lists this ribosomal RNA (514 nucleotides) under Candida albicans. RNAcentral's name for it is "eukaryotic LSU rRNA". The stretch from base 147 to 300 matches the Rfam family "5.8S ribosomal RNA". The record is from RNAcentral. Lineage: Eukaryota; Fungi; Ascomycota; Pichiomycetes; Serinales; Debaryomycetaceae.